Molecule: non-coding RNA, 29 nt
Filed under: Rattus norvegicus (Norway rat)
Lineage: Eukaryota; Metazoa; Chordata; Mammalia; Rodentia; Muridae
Source: RNAcentral
UCAUUCUUUAAAUGGAUUGAGUCUAUAGC